This 338-nucleotide unclassified non-coding RNA is filed under the name soil metagenome. Its description in RNAcentral is "partial contains 5.8S ribosomal RNA, internal transcribed spacer 2, and large subunit ribosomal RNA". The stretch from base 1 to 120 matches the Rfam family "5.8S ribosomal RNA", at positions 35 to 154 of the family's 154-position model. The record is from RNAcentral.
GAUGAAGAACGUAGCGAAAUGCGAUACGUAGUGUGAAUUGCAGAAUCCAGUGAAUCAUCGAAUCUUUGAACGCACAUUGCGCCCUUUGGUAUUCCAAAGGGCAUGCCUGUUCGAGCGUCAUUUGUACCCUCAAGCUUUGCUUGGUGUUGGGCGUCUUGUCUCCAGUCCGCUGGAGACUCGCCUUAAAGUCAUUGGCAGCCGGCCUACUGGUUUCGGAGCGCAGCACAAGUCGCACUCUUUUCCAGCCAAGGUCAGUGUCCAACAAGCCUUUUUUCAACUUUUGACCUCGGAUCAGGUAGGGAUACCCGCUGAACUUAAGCAUAUCAAUAAGCGGAGGA